Molecule: ribosomal RNA, 916 nt
Filed under: uncultured beta proteobacterium
Lineage: Bacteria; Pseudomonadati; Pseudomonadota; Betaproteobacteria
Description: bacterial SSU rRNA
Rfam family: Bacterial small subunit ribosomal RNA
Source: RNAcentral
AGAGUUUGAUCCUGGCUCAGAUUGAACGCUGGCGGAAUGCUUUACACAUGCAAGUCGAACGGCAGCACGGGUGCUUGCACCUGGUGGCGAGUGGCGAACGGGUGAGUAAUAUACCGGAACGUAUCCAAUAAUGGGGGAUAACUAAUCGAAAGGUUGGCUAAUACCGCAUACGCCCUACGGGGGAAAGCUAGGGACCUUCGGGCCUGGCGUUAAUGGAGCGGCCGAUAUCUGAUUAGCUAGUUGGUGGGGUAAAAGCCCACCAAGGCGACGAUCAGUAGCUGGUCUGAGAGGACGACCAGCCACACUGGAACUGAGACACGGUCCAGACUCCUACGGGAGGCAGCAGUGGGGGAUUUUGGACAAUGGGCGCAAGCCUGAUCCAACCAUUCCGCGUGAGUGAAGAAGGCCUUCGGGUUGUAAAGCUCUUUCGCAAGGGAAGAAAACUUAGCCUCUAACAUAGGCUGAGGUUGACGGUACCUUGAUAAGAAGCACCGGCUAACUACGUGCCAGCAGCCGCGGUAAUACGUAGGGUGCGAGCGUUAAUCGGAAUUACUGGGCGUAAAGCGUGCGCAGGCGGCUAUUUAAGUCUGAUGUGAAAUCCCUGGGCUCGACCUAGGAACUGCGUUGGAAACUGAAUAGCUAGAAUAUGUCAGAGGGGGGUAGAAUUCCACGUGUAGCAGUGAAAUGCGUAGAGAUGUGGAGGAAUACCAAUGGCGAAGGCAGCCCCCUGGGAUAAUAUUGACGCUCAUGCACGAAAGCGUGGGGAGCAAACAGGAUUAGAUACCCUGGUAGUCCACGCCCUAAACGAUGUCUACUAGUUGUUGGUGGAGUAAAAUCCAUGAGUAACGCAGCUAACGCGUGAAGUAGACCGCCUGGGGAGUACGGUCGCAAGAUUAAAACUCAAAGGAAUUGACGG